UUAGCCAUGAGCAACGAGUGCUGCAGAAAUAGCUCCUGUGCAAAGGUUCCCCUGAGGAGGCCCGGAGACUGUGGCCAGACUUCCCCGGCUGUGUGCCAGGCAGCAAAUUUACACUCUUCUUAAUGUCAUGCUCUUUGGAAAUGCUCUUCUCAGUGGCCGCUAUUUACCUUUGGCCAUUUUCUGUUACUGCAGUGGGGGAAUGGCAUGGUGACCAGGUGGGAAAAGGCCAGAAGCACAGAGUAGGGCUGUAACACUCCCCUGGACACCAAAACAGCGAGGUGAUGGGGCAGCCGAAGCAGGCCCACAGAGACCUCCAAGCAAUGGUAAGAAAUCAGGUGCACCAAAUCCAGCAGGGUGGUCAAUGAGCCCAGUCUUCAUCAAGAAGUAAGACCUGGAUUUAGCAAUCUUCUAUCAAAAACUGCAGCAAGAAACAUGGCUAUCACCUUUUGUGUUUCCAUGUGAUUUGUACUGUUCAACAGACAAAAAGGCUUCACGCUGAAGCCUUAACAUUUUCAGGAGCUGGAAUAAGUGUUUUAUCCCUCAUUGGUGGAAUAGCAGGCUAAUGGCUCUGCUGCAGAGAAAAGAGAGCUGCCAGGGCUCAGCUGAAGGGAUCUGAGCAUUCUGAGGAGCUCAGGAAGAGAAGGUCCAGCCACCUCCAGAACAAGCUGGACAGACCCUCGAGGGGAGAUUUGACCAAAUCACCGCUCAGCUCCAAAAAGCAGAGGUCUGAACAAAGGCUCACUCCAGGACAGCCAAAUGGUGACAGGAUAUAGCAAAAAAGCCAAGUCUAAAAACUUGCACUACGGGACCAAAUACAGGCUCAAAAUAUGAUGAUGGCUUUGUAAAAUGUCUUUUUCUGAGCAAGGAGAGCUGCAUGUGUCUCUUGUGCUCCAGAUGACUGAUGGAAGGACCAGAGGAUAGAGCUGGCUGCUGGCU
This is a non-coding RNA of Anas platyrhynchos (mallard), 936 nucleotides long. The record is from RefSeq and is a predicted model, not a curated record. Lineage: Eukaryota; Metazoa; Chordata; Aves; Anseriformes; Anatidae.